Carassius gibelio (silver crucian carp) is the source of this 950-nucleotide long non-coding RNA. RefSeq lists it as uncharacterized. The record is from RefSeq and is a predicted model, not a curated record. The transcript is spliced from 3 exons. NCBI's taxonomy places the organism in Eukaryota, Metazoa, Chordata, Actinopteri, Cypriniformes, Cyprinidae.
GUUUUUGUAGAACCUUUCUAACCAAGUGUUUGAUGCAUUUCGCCUUACAGCCCCGCACUUUCGCUACUGAAGAGUCUAAAGUAGCGUUUACGCUCACACUACUGUCUGGCAAGGCUGCCUUAUGGGGGACGGCAGUGUGGGAGAAUCAACACCCAUGUUGUGCCUUGUUCCACGCCCUAUCCGAAGAGAUGAAGAGAGUCUUCGACCGGGCCGCAACCGGCAGGGAGGCCGCCCAUAGUCUCUCAGAACUCCAGCAAGGAUCUUCUUCCGUCACCGACUACUCCAUCAAGUUCCGCACCCUGGCGGCCGCGUGCCAGUGGAUAGAGGCGGCGCAGUGGGAUAGAUUCCUGCAUGGGUUAUCCGACUGUGUUCAGCAGGGGAUCUACCUCCUCGAGCUGCCCCCUACUCUCAAUGGACUUAUUGAACUGGCGUUACGAGUUGACGCAAGGUUAAAUCGCCUGGGCCGCCAACCCAGUCCUUCUAGAUCUACCAUCUCUCCUGUUAGGGGGCGCUUGAGUCGAGAGAACACGGUCGGUUCUAUGUGAUCUAUGAUCAUGAGCCCAUGCAGGUGGGUAGAGUUCGGCUGCCCCGGAGGGAGAGGGAACGGUGGAGGUCCCAAGGACUAUGUUUGUACUGUGGAGGCUCUGCUCAUAACACCUACUCAUGCCCGGUAAAAGAGCCAGCCCGAUAGUAAAUUUGAGGCUACUAUCGGGUGGGAUCUCCGCUGAGAAGUCCUCAUCAACAUCAUCCCUCCUUCCAGUGAGACUGCGGUGGAAGAAUCAACAUCAUGAGUGUCAAGCCCUUCUGGACUCCGUAGCCGAAGAAGGAGACCAUGGUUUUGCCAAACGUAUCUGGACCUGAAGGAAGUGUUCAGUAAGUCCCGUGCUGCUCCUCUUCCUCCACAUCAUCCCUACGACUGUGCCAUAGACUUAGUGUCAGGAACACGUUCA